GCAAGUCGAGCGGUAAGGCCUUUCGGGGUACACGAGCGGCGAACGGGUGAGUAACACGUGGGUGAUCUGCCCUGCACUUCGGGAUAAGCCUGGGAAACUGGGUCUAAUACCGGAUAUGACCUCCUGUUGCAUGACUUGGGGUGGAAAGAUUUAUCGGUGCAGGAUGGGCCCGCGGCCUAUCAGCUUGUUGGUGGGGUAAUGGCCUACCAAGGCGACGACGGGUAGCCGACCUGAGAGGGUGACCGGCCACACUGGGACUGAGACACGGCCCAGACUCCUACGGGAGGCAGCAGUGGGGAAUAUUGCACAAUGGGCGAAAGCCUGAUGCAGCGACGCCGCGUGAGGGAUGACGGCCUUCGGGUUGUAAACCUCUUUCAGCAGGGACGAAGCGCAAGUGACGGUACCUGCAGAAGAAGCACCGGCUAACUACGUGCCAGCAGCCGCGGUAAUACGUAGGGUGCAAGCGUUGUCCGGAAUUACUGGGCGUAAAGAGUUCGUAGGCGGUUUGUCGCGUCGUUUGUGAAAACCAGCAGCUCAACUGCUGGCUUGCAGGCGAUACGGGCAGACUUGAGUACUGCAGGGGAGACUGGAAUUCCUGGUGUAGCGGUGAAAUGCGCAGAUAUCAGGAGGAACACCGGUGGCGAAGGCGGGUCUCUGGGCAGUAACUGACGCUGAGGAACGAAAGCGUGGG
This 691-nucleotide ribosomal RNA is filed under the name Rhodococcus erythropolis. Its description in RNAcentral is "bacterial SSU rRNA". It matches the Rfam family "Bacterial small subunit ribosomal RNA", at positions 57 to 765 of the family's 1533-position model. The record is from RNAcentral. Lineage: Bacteria; Bacillati; Actinomycetota; Actinomycetes; Mycobacteriales; Nocardiaceae.